RNAcentral lists this unclassified non-coding RNA (336 nucleotides) under soil metagenome. RNAcentral's name for it is "partial contains 5.8S ribosomal RNA, internal transcribed spacer 2, and large subunit ribosomal RNA". The stretch from base 1 to 120 matches the Rfam family "5.8S ribosomal RNA", at positions 35 to 154 of the family's 154-position model. The record is from RNAcentral.
GAUGAAGAACGUAGCGAAAUGCGAUAAGUAGUGUGAAUUGCAGAAUUCAGUGAAUCAUCGAAUCUUUGAACGCACAUUGCGCCCCUUGGUAUUACAUGGGGCAUGCCUGUUAGAGCGUCAUUUGUACCUUCAAGCUUUGCUUGGUGUUGGGUGUUUGUCUCGCCUUUGCGUGUAGACUCGCCUUAAAAUAAUUGGCAGCCGGCGUAUUGAUUUCGGAGCGCAGUACAUCUCGCGCUUUGCACUCAUAACGACAGCGUCCAAAAGUACAUUUUACACUCUUGACCUCGGAUCAGGUAGGGAUACCCGCUGAACUUAAGCAUAUCAAUAAGCGGAGGA